Molecule: long non-coding RNA, 1047 nt
Filed under: Dromaius novaehollandiae (emu)
Lineage: Eukaryota; Metazoa; Chordata; Aves; Casuariiformes; Dromaiidae
Description: lncRNA (ENSDNVG00000002661.1)
Source: RNAcentral
CUGUCACUCGUGUCCGAGGGGACGUCCCUUGCGGCGGGGGUGGCACCUGGCGCGCCCCGGGCCCCGUCCCCGGCGGCGGAGGUGACGUCCCCCGUGACGUAGGUGACGUCCCUCGCGCCCCGGGCCCUGUCCCUUCCGUCCAAGGGGACGUCCCCGCUGCCAAAGGGGACGUCCCACGUGCCGUCGGUGACAUCGGCGCCCGCGGGGACGUCCCGGCCGUCCAAGAUGACGUCUCCGGUGCCAAAGGGGACGUCUGCGGUGCCGACGGUGACAUCGGCGCCCACGGGGACGUCCCUUGUGUCCUGGGCGCCGCCGCGUCCGUCCAAGGGGACGUCCCUGCUGCCGACGGUGACGUCCGCGCCCACGGGGACGUCUCUGGUGCCGGAGGGGACGUCUCCGGUGCGGAAGGGGACGUCACCUGAGCCCGUGGGGACAUCUCUGGUGCCAAAGGGGCCAUCUUGGGUGCCGAAGGUGACGUGUUCUUCUCCCAUGGGGACGUGUCUGGUGCCAAAGGGGACAUCUUGGGUGCCGAAGGUGACACCUGUGCCCAUGAGGAUGUGUCUGGUGCCAAAGGGGACAUCUCCGGCGUUGAAGAUGACACCUGCGCCCAUGGGGCUGUUUCUCGUGCGGAAGGGGCCAUCUUGGGUGCCGAAGGCGAUGUGUUCUUCUCCCAUGGGGACGUGUCUGGUGACAAAGCRGCCAUCUUGGGUGGCUCUGGUCGCCCACGGAGAGGGUCCCGCGCGUCUCCCGCAGCAGCUCCGGGGCCACCCAGCGCAGCGGCACCCACAGCCGCUCCGCCGUCACGUAGUAGUCCUCCUGGGGGGGGCGUCACCCCGCGGGAACCCCCGGCCUGUCCGCGUCCCCUCCAUCCCCGCCGGUCCCCGUCCCCAUCCCCGUGUCCCUCCAUCCCCUCUGGUUCCCCCGUCCCCGUCCCCGUCCCCAUGUCCCGCCAUCUCUUCUGGUCCCUGUCCUUGUUCCCUCCGUCCCGUCCAUGUCCGCAUGUCCCUCCAUCCCGUCCCCGUGUCCCUCCAUCUUUUCUGGUCCCUG